GCCCCAGUAGCUUAACGCAAGAGCAUUGGUAAUUCCAAAGGUUGUCGGUUCAACUCCGUCCCAGGGCA
Molecule: transfer RNA, 68 nt
Filed under: Caproiciproducens sp. NJN-50
Lineage: Bacteria; Bacillati; Bacillota; Clostridia; Eubacteriales; Acutalibacteraceae
Rfam family: tRNA
About the family: Transfer RNA (tRNA) molecules are approximately 80 nucleotides in length. Their secondary structure includes four short double-helical elements and three loops (D, anti-codon, and T loops). Further hydrogen bonds mediate the characteristic L-shaped molecular structure. tRNAs have two regions of fundamental functional importance: the anti-codon, which is responsible for specific mRNA codon recognition, and the 3' end, to which the tRNAs corresponding amino acid is attached (by aminoacyl-tRNA synthetases). tRNAs cope with the degeneracy of the genetic code in two manners: having more than one tRNA (with a specific anti-codon) for a particular amino acid; and 'wobble' base-pairing, i.e. permitting non-standard base-pairing at the 3rd anti-codon position.
Source: Rfam by way of RNAcentral